AGCCGGAGUAGCCGCGCUGCGUGGGGGACCAGGCCGGCCUGUGCGCGUGGGGGACCGGCGGCCUGACCUGCUGCGUUGGGGGCUGCAGAGUGGGGCCGUUGGGCCGCUACGGAGUGGGGCUUGAAGACGCAUCCGGGCACUCACAGGUGAGAGGUAGAGGAGUACGCAGCGAGCAGAAGGUACAUUACUGAAUUUUUCUCAUGAUUUCGAUUGCUACUAGAAUUAGAGAGGAGAGAUUAGCUUGUAUUUGCUUGCAUAUGUGAUGAGGCUGCAUUGUUGUUCAUCUGUAGGAUGGACGACAAUAGUCGCUUCAAACUAGAAAUUCGAGUCAUUGCUCCCAACUGUCGUGGUAGAUGGUACAACUUGGAAAAAAUUGUGGAUGCUGACUUUACCAACUUCAGAGAUUUGGUUGAUGAAGUUGUUGACAAGUGUCCUCCCAGUUUCGGCGACGUAGUGAAACUGUUUUACUCAUGCAUGGAUACAAAGGCCAAUAUCCUAGUCUGUUCUGAUCAAGAGUUGGUUGAAAUAUUUGCAAAACAUGAAGCUUCAAAGUGCUGUUAUAUGACUUUAUGUUAUUAUAGUCCUGGUAGUGAGCCUCCUGUAUGGGAUGUUACUAGUACUAGCAAGUCAAUUGCAGCCCCAUGCACUCCUUCAAUGCCAUGUCCUAGCAUAGCAGAACCAAGCUUUGGAACUCAUACCCAUGAAACUAAACAAAUGCCCAACCCAAACCCACGUGAUGAGUACCUAGGUGUGGAUGGGGAAGGGUUGUAUACUGAUAUUGGUCUCGAAAAUUCAGAACCUGUCAAUCCUCAAAGCCAACAAAGAUAUCCUGAACCAUCCCAAUCAGACACGUGAUUGACUCCGAAACAAAUGAGAAUUGGGUGUGGUUCAUGCAAAGGUUGAAGGAAGCUAUAGGCAGCCCGGUUGGCCUUACAUUCAGCACUGAUUAUGAGCAGGCAGUGAUGAAUGAAGUUAGUGUGGUUUUUCCAGAAGCUGAACAUAGAGAGUGUAUGUAUCACCUAGUUCAAAAUUUAAAAAAAAGUACAGUAGACAGAUUUGUAAUGAAAAUCUAUAGCAAUCUGUAUAUUUUUGGAACCCUUACAUGUUUGAGAAACAUUAUCAAGCAAUGGCUGAACACAAACCAGAGGCUAUGAAAUAUCUUCAGGAAAACUAUAAGAAAUUGUGGAGCAGGAGCCAAUUCUCCACAUUGUCAAAGGUGGAUUAUAUUACAAAUAACUUGGUUGAGUCCUUCAACAAUUGGGUAAAGGAUUAUAAGGGCAAGAACCUGAAUGACCUGAUGGAUACCAUUAGACAGCGGAUCUUGAUUAAAUGGAAUCAAAAGAAACGGAUUGUCCAGCAGUUUCAAGGCAAAAUUCUGCCUCAUAUAGUUCAAAAGUUGAGGGAAGACAGCUAUAAACUUGACAUUGAAGUUAUCACAAGCUCACCUGAUGGUAUUGGAGAAAUUUGUGCUAAGGAGCGUUCUGCCAGCAGUUACAGGUUUGUAGUCAACUUAAUUGAGAGGACUUGCACCUGCAGGGCUUGGCAAGGGUCAGGAAUACCCUGCAAACAUGAUAUUGCAUACAUCACAUCAAUUCCUGGUGCUAUCUUAGAGGACUAUGUGCAUGAGUACUACUCAGUUGACAAAUUCAAAGCUGCGUAUCAAGGUUCUGUCCCUAGUAUUCCUGACAAGUCCUGCUGGCCCAAAGCCACACAUGGUUUCUUUAUGCAUCCUCCAUUGCUCAAGUCAACUGCAGAAAGGCACAAGAACGUGAUGAAAUCAGCUAUGGAGGGAGGUAGUGGAAGUAGUGGUAGCAAAGGGACUGGCAAGAGGAGACAUAAGUGCCCAAUAUGCAAAUAGUUAGGGCACCACUGGUACAAAUGUAACAAUGGGAAUCCAGAAGAUAUAGCUGCAAUGGAGCUUGAGAGGGGUCCACCAAAGAAACAGCUCAAGAAGAAAGCAGCUGCUUGUACCACAGAGAGUAGCAUUAUUGUGGCCACUCCUGCAUCAGAAAUGGUCUGGCCACACAAUGAGUCAGUGGCUAAUGCUACACACAAGAAAGGUAAGAGAAAAUCAUCUUCAUCAUCAUCAGGUGCCAAGAAAAGGAAGAAGACAACAACCACUACUUCAACAAGUACUGCUAGCAGAUCUGGAACUUGAUCCAAUGAUCCUGUACCUCUCCAAGUUCUGCCUCCUGCCUCAGCACAUACAACGCUCACACCAAUGAAGGAAUGUGGUGUCACGAAAGAAGCUAACACCAAAAAGGACGCCAGUUCAGGUUGACAGCCCA
Molecule: long non-coding RNA, 2288 nt
Organism: Panicum virgatum (switchgrass)
Lineage: Eukaryota; Viridiplantae; Streptophyta; Magnoliopsida; Poales; Poaceae
Exons: 4
Source: RefSeq, a predicted model, not a curated record